This 1424-nucleotide long non-coding RNA is filed under the name Nicotiana benthamiana. RNAcentral describes it as "long non-coding RNA (NBEN_LNC015576)". Lineage: Eukaryota; Viridiplantae; Streptophyta; Magnoliopsida; Solanales; Solanaceae. The record is from RNAcentral.
GGAAAUUAGUGAUGUUAAAGACUGGGGAAUCUUGUCUAGCUACCUGCUUCUGUUUGUUCACCCAUUCAGCUGUAGCUAGAGUACUUGUCUCCUUUGGUAACUCUGGUUGCUGGAUUUGAGCCAUCUGGUUACUUUGGUCCACUGUGACUGGGGCUUUCACUCUCCAUUCCUGUGUCACCUUGUUUUUCUGUGUAGGUUGAGCAGAUUUAGCCAAACAGUUGUGUCCAACCUCCAAACAUUUCUCACAAUACACAGGUAUCCAAUCAUAACUCACAUCCUGCAUGAAGCUCUUUCCAUUUGGGUCCAGAAUCUCUAUCUCACUAGGUAGCUUACUCGACACAUUUACCUCAAUGAGCAUACGAGAUUCUAGAUUGCUUAGUUGUACAUUCGUCAGCAAAUAUAGGUCUACCAAGGACACUAGCAAUCCUACUUAAAGAUUUGCUACCCCAACAGGACAUUGUACAUUCGUCAGCAAAUAUAGGUCUACCAAGGACACUAGCAAUCCUACUUAAAGAUUUGCUACCCCAGCAGGACAUAGGCAAGUUAGGGAACUUGAUCCACAAGGGGAUUUCUGAAGGAAAGGCUGCUUUGAAAUAAAAUUCAGCAGACCACUGCUUCAAAAUCAUAGGUCUGUUAGCAAUAGUAGAAGGACCCCCACACAGAAUUUCUUUGGCAUCAUCUAGGGUACUAAAUUUAACAAUAUAGUAACCCUCAUCAUGAUAAAAUAGCUCGGGUUCAGGCACACGAGACCAGUGGAGGUUAAUAAACCUUUUCAUACCAUUAUACCCAGGGCUAUUACCUAUCACAAAUACAACAAGGGCACAUUUCCAUUUUACUUCUUCCUCUUCCACCUCUUCCUUCACCAGCUGACCAACUGGUUUACCAUUAACAAGUGUAGGGGGAAUAUACUCUAGAGACAUACCAUUCGCAGCAAGUCGAUUACUCUGGAAUAGGCUAGCCCACUGUUUGGGUGAAUCAAUUUUUGCUCCUUCUUCACUAGCAGCCUUUGGAACAACAGGUGGUGGUGGUUGUUGCAUGUGGUCCGGACCCCUAUUCUCAGGCUCCAUCGGGACAAUUACUGGACUAACUUCAGGAUCUGAGUUGUUAUCAACCCUCACAGUUACUGUUGGUAUCAGGGAAACUCCAGAUGGUUGUGGAUCUACUGUUGCAUGAGUCAAUGAAACAGUUUCUUCAGCAGAUUCCAAUGGAACAGUGCUAACUACCUGUGGAACAGUACUAACAGCUUUUGGGAAAACAACAUCGCUUGCAUAAAUUGGUACCAGCUCUUUCUUUGGUCGACCUCUCCUUCUUGCCAUAACACCCUCAGUGUAGGUUAACCUACCUACGCAGAGGCAGCAGAGAAGAAGAAGAUGAAUCAGCGAAGAAGAUGAGAAAGUUAGAGAGAAGGCAGAGCUUCUCUCUCU